RNAcentral lists this unclassified non-coding RNA (280 nucleotides) under Hevea brasiliensis (rubber tree). Lineage: Eukaryota; Viridiplantae; Streptophyta; Magnoliopsida; Malpighiales; Euphorbiaceae. The record is from RNAcentral.
GGUUUGGGUUUGUUGCGCGGGAAACUUGAUUGUUUUACCCAAAAUUUUGGGCUCAAAUGAAAUAGGACCCGUUUCUAAAAUUAAGGUUGUAUAUUCUUUUGCUGAGGUCAGCAGCUGUAAAAAAUUAUGCUUUUGCCCUUUUGUUGCGCGGUGGUCUGGGCCGUCGCCAUCUCCGGAGAAGACGAACGCUCGACGUCUAGUUGCGUGGGUCGUCGCCGCUGCUCGUGAGUUUCUGAGUGGUCGCCGCCGGAGAAUAAGAACUGAGCAGGGAGAAUCGGCG